Molecule: long non-coding RNA, 1446 nt
Organism: Gadus macrocephalus (Pacific cod)
Lineage: Eukaryota; Metazoa; Chordata; Actinopteri; Gadiformes; Gadidae
Exons: 2
Source: RefSeq, a predicted model, not a curated record
CACGCCACUGGGGGGUGGACCGUGAACACAUCCGCAGGUUAUUAAGGAGCAGGUAGGGGUGAGACAGUAAAGAGACCGGUCAUUAAGGAGCAGAAAAGGGGUGAGACAGUACAGAGACAGGUGAUCAAGAAGCAGAUAGGGGCUAAAUAGUACAGAGACAAGUUAUUAAGGAGCAGGUAGGGGUGAGACAGUAAAGAGACCGGUCAUUAAGGAGCAGAAAAGGGGUGAGACAGUACUGAGACAGGUGAUCAGGAAGCAGAUAGGGGCUAAACAGUACAGAGACAAGGAAUUAAGGAGCAGGUAGGGGUGAGACAGUGAAUACAGUGACAGGCCAUUAUGGAGCAGGUAGGGGUUAGACAGUUGAAACAGACACCGGUUCUUAAGGUGCAGGUAGGGGUCAGACAGCAGAAACAGAACAAUAAUUUAGGAGUGGAUUCUCACAUUUUCCCUCCAUGAACUUGGGGAUGUAGGAGUCCCAGGGACCGGGCUCCGGCUGGGUCAGGUUCAUGCGGUCGAAGUGGAAGUAGCUGACCAGGUUGUCCUUGGCGUUGCGAGCCACGUAGAUGGUCUGGGAUCAGAGGAGCCAGAGGUGAGGAGAGGGUGAGGAACAUCUCCCCUCCACAGGGAACAUCUCCAAAAGGUGCAUUCGCAACCACCCCACAGCAUACGGGGGUAAAACACCUCACAACUAUUCAUAAUCUACAAGGUACAAGAUUGUUUAUUGUCAUAUACACAAUGGAAACAUAGUUUGCACUGGGCAAUGAAAUUCUUUGCAAAAAAAUGUGCAAGUUCCCUUCGCACAAAAUAUACUUAAAAUAUAGUAGAUGAAUAAACUAAACUACUAAAAAAAUCUGGACAAAGAGCAGAACAAAGCUAAAGGUAUCCCAGUAACACACCGCAUCAAGGGGCGGAGUCAUGAGUGAUAACAACUUUGACACAACUACAACGUCAUUGUACUCCUACUCUACUUCUGACUUCUCCACUAUCACAGUUUGAGGAUAGGGAGAAACGACUUAUAGCGUUGGACGGUUUUCUGAAGACUCAGCAUAUUUCUCUAGCUUACAUUUAUAAUGACCCCACAACACAUUGAGGCAGAUUUUUACAGAUCCUGGGGAUCCCUCGUGAGUUUAGAGUUAAAAUGUCAAACGGCAUUUGAACUACACUAUGUCAGUUUAGCUGCACUGUGAGUAUAGGCUUAAACUUACCUUGCAUUUGUUCUUCCAGAAUCCCUGAGGGACCAGCUGGAAGGGAAGGUGGGUCUUAAUGACCCUUGGGGGGGGCAUCUCCUUCAAAAGGUCCAGACCUAGACCACAUCAUCAACAUCAUCUUCAACAUCAUCAUCAUCAUCAUCAUCAUCAUCAUCAUCAUCAUCAUCAUCAUCAUCAUCAUCAUCCUCCUCCUCUCUCUUCAUCAUGUCAGUAUACUCUGCUUUUCUCUCAAUUCACA